RNAcentral lists this ribosomal RNA (206 nucleotides) under uncultured Sphingobacteriales bacterium. Its description in RNAcentral is "partial 16S ribosomal RNA". It matches the Rfam family "Bacterial small subunit ribosomal RNA", at positions 1179 to 1382 of the family's 1533-position model. Lineage: Bacteria; Pseudomonadati; Bacteroidota; Sphingobacteriia; Sphingobacteriales. The record is from RNAcentral.
AUGACGUCAAAUCAGCACGGCCCUUUAUGUCCAGGGCUACACACGUGUUACAAUGGCCAGUACAAAGGGCAGCUACCGAGUGACCGGAUGCUAAUCUCUAAAGACUGGUCUCAGUUCGGAUCGAAGUCUGCAACCCGACUUCGUGAAGCUGGAUUCGCUAGUAAUCGCGCAUCAGCCAUGGCGCGGUGAAUACGUUCCCGGGGCUU